RNAcentral lists this ribosomal RNA (878 nucleotides) under Bimuria omanensis. RNAcentral's name for it is "partial large subunit ribosomal RNA". It matches the Rfam family "Eukaryotic large subunit ribosomal RNA", at positions 44 to 939 of the family's 3401-position model. The record is from RNAcentral. Lineage: Eukaryota; Fungi; Ascomycota; Dothideomycetes; Pleosporales; Didymosphaeriaceae.
CAAUAAGCGGAGGAAAAGAAACAAACAUGGAUAGCCCCAGUAACGGCGAGUGAAGCGGCUACAGCUCAAAUUUGAAAUCUGGCCUUUUCGGGGGUCCGAGUUGUAAUUUGCAGAGGAUGCUUUGGCGUUGGCGGCGGUCUAAGUUCCUUGGAACAGGACAUCGCAGAGGGUGAGAAUCCCGUACGUGGGCGCCUGCCUUCGCCGUGUAAAGCUCCUUCGACGAGUCGAGUUGUUUGGGAAUGCAGCUCUAAAUGGGAGGUAAAUUUCUUCUAAAGCUAAAUACCGGCCAGAGACCGAUAGCGCACAAGUAGAGUGAUCGAAAGAUGAAAAGUACUUUGGAAAGAGAGUCAAACAGCACGUGAAAUUGUUGAAAGGGAAGCGCUUGCAGCCAGACUUGCCCGCAGUUGCUCACCCGGGCUCCGGCCUGGGGCACUCUUCUGCGGGCAGGCCAGCAUCGGUUCGGGCGGUCGGAUAAAGGUCUCUGUCAAGUACCACCCUCCGGGGUGGCCUUAUAGGGGAGGCGCAAUGCGACCAGCCCGGACCGAGGUCCGCGCAUCUGCCAGGAUGCUGGCGUAAUGGCUGUAAGCGGCCCGUCUUGAAACACGGACCAAGGAGUCUAACAUCUAUGCGAGUGUUUGGGUGUCAAGCCCGGGCGCGCAAUGAAAGUGAACGGAGGUGGGAACCCCUCGGGGCGCACCAUCGACCGAUCCUGAUGUCUUCGGAUGGAUUUGAGUAAGAGCAUAGCUGUUGGGACCCGAAAGAUGGUGAACUAUGCUUGAAUAGGGUGAAGCCAGAGGAAACUCUGGUGGAGGCUCGCAGCGGUUCUGACGUGCAAAUCGAUCGUCAAAUUUGGGCAUAGGGGCGAAAGACUAAUCGAA